Molecule: long non-coding RNA, 4170 nt
Filed under: Sus scrofa (pig)
Lineage: Eukaryota; Metazoa; Chordata; Mammalia; Artiodactyla; Suidae
Description: lncRNA (ENSSSCG00015050685.1)
Source: RNAcentral
AAAUCACAUAUUUAAUGUGCUAGUUUUAUCUCCUCAACUAUGUGCCAAAACAAAUAUUUAUUUUUGAUCAAACUCAUCUGUAUAAUCCCUGAAACCAUCCCAAGUACUGUACACAAGUACCACCCUUUGGAAAUGCUGGAUUAGAGCACUGCUUUGGCUCCUAAUGUCUUCACUCCUAUUGUGAAAUUCUAAAAAUCCUCCAAAGGAAAAGCAAUUUCAGAAAGAAAAAAAAAAAAUGUAUUAUUCUUGAGCCAACAGCCAGCAUGACCCCUGGAACAAAACUGUCGUGUUUUGGGAGUUCCCAUUGUGGCUCAGUAGGUCACAAACCCGACUAGGAACCAUGAAGAUGCAGGUUCAAUCCCUGGGGUCGCUGAGUGGGUUAAGGAUGUGUUGCUGUGAGCUGCAGUAUAGGUUGCAGACGGGGCUUGGAUCCCACUGUGGCUGUGGUGCAGGCCGCAGCUGCAGCUCCAAUUCGACCUCUAACCUGGGAACCUCCAUAGGCCACAAGUGUGGCCCUAAAAAGCAAAAAAAAAAAGUGUGUUUUGACAACUUGUCCUCUAUAAUCACAGUUUACAGGAUGCAACUCUGACUCGACUUUCCUACCCUGGGGAGUCUGCUGGGCGCAGGCCACUGCACAGCCGCUGGCCUUCCACAUGGUCGACGGAAGGCCUCGGUCCCCAACUGCCCCAGGCCUGAGCCUGUGUCAGGUUGAGGGGGGGUGGCUACGGCCCAGAGGGAACGGUCAGUCCGUCCCCACCCACCUUCUCAAGAGCCUGGAGUGUUGGCCUUUCAUCCUAAGCAAGAGACCCCAAGGUCAGAGCAAGUCCUCGCUGGGCUGGCAGCCUCCUCUGCGUCCCUUCACGUCCUGAUCAUUCCUGGGACUCUUGCAAUGACCCAGUCCACCAGACUCACGAGGCUCCUUGGUGGGGAACUCUCUUCUCUGGGAAAAGACGGGCAGGCGAGGGGAGCUGGGCAGCCAAGAGCGGGGAACAGAAGAUGCCUCCCUGGUGAAAGAAGUCAUUGCUAACACACUCGCACAAUGAAACAAAGGCUGAACAAAUCAGCGGCCCGAGGCAUCAAGGUUGAUUUUUUUUUGUGUGUGUGUGUGUGUCUUUUUAGGGCUGCACCUGCGGAAUAUGGAGGUUCCCAGGCCAGGGGUCUAAUUGGAGCAGCAGCUGCCAGCCUACGCCACAGCCAUAGCAACUUGGGAUCUGAGCCUCGUCUUCGACCUACACCACAGCUCACGGCAACACCAGAUCCUUAACCCACGGAGCAAGGCCAAGGAUCGAACCUGCAUCCUCCUGGAUGCUAGCCAGAUUCGUUUUCGCUGAGCCACGACGGGAACUCCAUCAAGGCUGAUCUUUUGCUCCCUCAGAGGUUCUUGAAUCUGGCAUCAGAUUCAUUCGAAGGGUUUUAAAAAAUAAAAGUUAUACGCGGUUCUGGAGAAAUUCUACUCCUUGGUAUUUACCCACGGUAAAUGAAAACAUAUUCACAGCAGCUUUACUCACAAUGGCCUAGAAUAAUCGUCCAAGUCCCCUCGGUGGGCAAGGAGAGCAACAGCUGGAGGCACAGCCAUGCUGUGGGCACUGCUUGGCAAUCGCAAGCCACCAACUGUGGAUACGAUACACGCGCCAGCGGAGGAGCCGGGAAACCAUGAUGAGCAGCCAGAGAAAGCAGACACGCACAGCAGGUGACUUCGUGCGACUAUGCUAAGGUUUAAGAACAGGCAAAAUCCACCUACAGUGAGAGAAGGUGGAACACGGGUGGCCUAUGCAGGCUGUGGAUUCGGUUAACUUUCUGGGGCCGUGGAAGCGCUCUGUGUAUCUAUACACUUGUCAACACCUGCCCAAUCAUACUCCGAAGAUCUGGGCAUUUCACUGUAGAUAAAUGUUUACCUGAAUUUAAAAAUAAAACUAGGCGUUCCCGUCGUGAUGCAGCAGAAAUGAAUGUGACUAGGAACCAUGAGGUUGUGGGUUCGAUCCCUGUCUCACUCAGUGGGUUAAGGAUCCGGCGUUGCCAUGAGCUGGGGUGUAGGUUGCAGAUGUGGCUUGGGUCCCAUGUUGCUGUGGCUGUGGUGUAGGCCAGCAGCUUAUCUCCAAUUGGACCCCUAGCCUGGGAACCUCCAUAUGCCACGGGUGUGACCCUAAAAAGAAAAAAGAAAAGAAAAAAAAAUAAAGUUGCGUGUGAGUACAUGUGUGUGUAAAAUUGAACAUAAAAAAUCCAUAAUUUCAUGGAUAUCCAUUGGUUAGAGCAAUGCUAAAGUUUAAAAGAUGACUGUAAAGAAAAAUAUUGAGUAAAGAGUAUAUAUCCAGAUGGUACAUGGAUACAGCAACGAUAACAAAUCAUGAGGUGCUCAGCAAAUCUUUGAAUUUCGGGGUUUAUGCCACCCUUCCUCUGAAAUGAUCCCAGAGACCCAGGCGUUUUGGGGGGUGGGGAGGGGGAGAUACAUAAGGGAUUGGUCCAUGUGGGUCCGUUGAAAGGAAAAAAAAAAAUGGGCAAUUAGUUCAGAAUCUCUCCAGGUGGCACUGGAAAUUAGCUGGUUCUAAGUCAAGAGGCCAUUUGCUAGAAAAACCGAGACCUUGGAGAAUAUACUGGGGCCGUUUCUCUGAAGGGACAUGUACUGUGGUCACAAUAGAGAUUCUGCUACUUUGCUCCCCUAGAGUAAAAGGGAAAGACCCCCAAUCCUCACCCUGCCGUAUCCCCAGAGCCAAGCACUUCCGGUCAGCAGAUCUCCCGCGGGAGCACUUCCUGUGUGUGAUGCCCACAUACGGCAGCCUACCGGGCGACCCAGGACUGGGACAGCUGCCAGGCUGAAGGACCGACAGACAGGAAAGCCAAGCCCAUGGGGAAGUGCACAGCCAUGGAUAAGAGUUUGUUGACCAAAUAAAAACACAGAGCUGUCCCUAACCUUGGGUGGCGCUCUGGUUCUUAAGUCUAUGAGCAGGUCCAUUCUGGGAAUCCUUCUUUCCUACCAAUAUCCCCAAAGUCCUUUCUUUUCUUCCUUCCUGGUUCUGACUGGAAUGCGUCCCAACUUGGAUAGAACUACUUUUGGACGUCAGAGCCCAGGGUCAAGGCCCUGCCAGCGAGGCAGGAAAGAAGGGCUUUGUCUGCCCUGCAGGUCUCGGGGGGCCACCUACCCGGGUUCAGAAAGCACAUGGGUUUCCCCCUGUUUCUCCUGGGCCCUUUAGGCCUAAGGCCUUGUGUGUGGCAGCUGUGGAAGGGACACAAAGAUGUCACCACCUUGUUGGCAAGGCACUCGGUCCAGCUGGGAGCAGAGAGGAACAGAAGCAUAAAAGAGGAAGAAGGAGGCCCUGAAGGAGGAGGGCGCUGGGGAAGGAGCCAGCGAGGCGCAGAGCACAGAGCGGGGGCUCCCUCCAUCCUCAGAGCUCCUCCUCCACGGUCACUCCACAGUCGGUGAGGCCACAGGAGGAGCUGCUGCUUAUGCAGUUUACAAGGCGCCAGGCACUGGGCAGAGGCUCUCCCUCAGCGCGCGUAGCAGAGCAGCAGAGAGCACAAGCUCUGGACUCCUUCCUUCAGUCGGCACACGUCGCUGAGCGCCUACUGUGUGUCCGAUGCUACUCUAGGCACUGGAGAAACAGCAGUGCCAUGUCCAAGUCCCUACUAAGAAGUUACAGGAGUUCCCAUCGUGACACAGCAGAAAUGAAUCCAACUAGAACCAUGAGGUUGUGGGUUCAAUCCCUGGCCUUGCUCAGUGGGUCAAGGAUCUGGUGCAGUCGUGAGCUGUGUUGUAGGUCGAAGACGCGGCUCUGAUCCUGUGUCGCUGUGGCGCUGGGGUAGGCCAGCAGCUGUAGCUCCAAUUAGACCCCUAGUCUGGGAACCUCCAUAUGCCACAGGUGCAGCCUCAAAAGGACAAAAGACAAAAAAAAAAAAAAAAAAAAAAGAAGUUACAGAUGCCAGAAGCAUCACCUGGACCAGGUGCGGUGUAAACCUGUCUCUGCCUUUCACUAGAUAAUCGACCAGUGGCCCCUGUGGUUGAUUCAAAGAAUGUACUGUAAAUGUUUGUGUGAGGAUUAAACGAAACAAAACGUGUGAAGUUCGUAGAGUGGUGCCCAGCGCCCACUAAAGGCUCAGCGAAUACUGGCUACUACUGCCAUACUUGAGGUAGAGGCCCUUAUCCCCAUUUGGGUGUUGUCCUGGUGAUGAAAUAUA